Molecule: long non-coding RNA, 3795 nt
Organism: Pogoniulus pusillus (Red-fronted tinkerbird)
Lineage: Eukaryota; Metazoa; Chordata; Aves; Piciformes; Lybiidae
Exons: 4
Source: RefSeq, a predicted model, not a curated record
AUUCUGCAUGGUGUGAAGCAGGCUGGGAUGCAGUAAAUGGUGCCCUAGCUAAUCGGCCUGCAGCCAGAGCAGGAUUUGUCCAUUACAGUCUCACUUGCUUUCUGGGUGCAGCCUGAAUGAGAAGGUUUGAGCCAGUAUUUGCUGGGGUUUUCCCAUGCUUUCUUUUGAAGCUCUUGGUUUUUCCAUGCCUUGAAUUUUGGAGUGUGCCUUGAGAAGUGUCAUGGGUUGAUUUCAAAUGUUCAGUAACCUGUUACAAGAAGCAAUAUUGCCUAGCUCCAUUUUCUACCUCUUGAUUUGUAAAUGCUAUAGAAUGAAUGCUGUAUUUACCUGUAUUUGAGUGAUGAGGAAACUAUGACACAAUUGCAUCAGGCAGUAGACUGAAGGAAAGGCUUGGAGCAGGAGUCAGACUGCUAAGUCUCCGAGCAGAGUUCCAGGUGCAAGCAGGGCUCCUCCAUCCCUUCUGUCCUUUCCUUGUUUUGUGUCUCCUUGUAUUCCUAGGGAAAUGAAAUGUGAAUUCUAAGCUUCAGCAUCUGUGCUAGGAGAAUAUGCAGCCAAGUGAAAGGUGGCUGAAUUUGGCCCAGUAUUGGCCACUGAUUCUUAAAGACCUUCUUAUCACAGAGUGAACUGCUUCAGAAACCAGCUCGAGAGCUGACAGCCCACAGUGCUGAGUGACAAGUUAAAUUUCAGUUAUAAAAAAGCCAUAAAGGAAGUCUGACAUAUUUUUAUCUCCUCCACUACUCCAGUGGAAGCUGCAACCUUGAUAUUUCUGACAGAAAUUACCUGGGGGUCUGAGAUGCGUUCUACAGUCUGCAGAUGAUCGCAUAGUGCACAAACCAAAGCCAUGAGCGACCUGGUUAUUUUAGGUAUGGAUCAAUGCCAUUGUCAGUGGAAUUAAGGCACCCCAGCUGCCAGUGGGUUUGUACAAUGGCCAUGAAGGGGUUCACUGUAGCAAGGUUUAUAGGACAAAUUUUCAUUCCUGUACAUAACCUUAACCUCCUGUGCUGAGGAGCUCUGCUCGUGGACCAGGACUAUCGUGAAAAAUUGCUGUACAUUCACAAAGUGGAAAAAAUAGUCCCAUUCACACCCUCAGGAUGGGUAAUCUGAGCUGCAAGAAGACUCAAGAUUCAGAGGACUUCCAGCCAGCCAGCACUGGAGGCCUUGUGGAAGCCUCAGUCCCAGCAAUCUGGCCCAGCAUUGCUUCGGCACACACUGAGCUCCACAUCACGAGGGAGCAGUGCGCCAAUAUCUGAACUGUUGUAAAUUAAAGCCAGCAGAAGUAGCUUUCCAUUCACACUUUCAGUUUUCGUAUCAACAUGCCAUAAUGACAUGAGGCAGCAGUUGGAUGUAGAAUGGUAAGAAUAUUUGGGCAUUUUAAGCAACGAGGAUAAGUUUGUUUAGCUCACACAUCCCUCCCUUGCUCCAGCUGAGAGAUCACAAGUCACUGUCCACAGCUACAAAGGGCCAGACUGAAAGCUCCUCUUAGGUGAGAAGCAGAAGGGGUUUAAACCACCACAUCUUGUCUGUUUGUAAAUGCUAAGCCCUGCUGUUAUAAAUUACUGCUCCGCUUCUAGAUUGGUUCACAGUCUUUUUGCUCCCUUAUAGAGGCAGGGGUGACACCUCUCACCUCUGGUGAAGGGUUGAACUACAGGCAUUCAGCUAAAUCCCAUGUUACCAGCUAGAAAGUAAAACAUGCUUUUCAGUCAGCUAUGGGAUGUGUUUCCCAAAUGCUCUGGUAUCUCCAGUCUCUCCUACUUUCUUUGUGAAACUGUUACUUUGCAUAAUAGAGGGGAGAGACGCUGCUCCAAACAUCUGGUAGGCAACACCAUGUAUAAUUUAGGUUGCAUCACUCACUCUCCCAUCAACAACAGGAACACAGCUUCCCUCUUUUUUUCUCUUGAUCUCUUAUCCCUUUGCUAGAAAUGCAAGGUCAAAAGUAGCUGUGGGGCAAUAAACUGUAUCCAAUAAACCACAGAGUUUUGAGGGACUCACUGCUUGUGAGUGAGACUUCACAACCAGGUCAUUUCCCAGCUCUACAUGUGCAAAGGGAUAAAGAACUCAGUAAAUCCUGGUCAGGACAGGGCAUGUUUUCAAAUGCUCUUUCUUCUCCCAGAGGCAUCUGGUUACCCUUCAGCAAAGCCUAGAGACUCAGAUCACGUCAUCAUCUGAGCACAGUGCUCUGGCAAUCACCAUCAAGGUCAACAUCACUGCAGUUAGCUAUGGAGUCCCCCACGUGCAUCAACAGACUGAUUGUGAGGGAGGUCACCAAGUCCACUCAUGUCUAGCAGAAGGCUUCUUGGGCUGGGAAUGGGAGUUUCAUCAUCUCCAAAGGACUCUUCAUUUUGAGGACCAAGCCACCUUUUUCUUCUGCAUUGGUGGUUCUCUCAGACAGAAAGCUGCAGCAGGAAAACUACAAUUUGCUGCUAUUCCUCUGUUAAGAGGAAUAUUUGGGGCCUAUCCAGACCUGCACUCCUGUUGAUCUGCUCUUGAUGAGCACAGUCAAGUGGUUAAGGCCCUGAUGCUGGAGUUUAUGGCUUGAAUCAAUGGGAUUAUUCAUAAGUUCAGAGAUAACCACGUGCUUUUAUAUGUGGCUGGAGUGGCGUCUAAAGCUGACAGCUGGGAGUCAAAAGCUCUGAGUCACCAGGUCCCUCCUCGCCUUCCUGUGUGACCAGUCUACCUGUGUCUGCUUCCUUGCCUGCCGUAUAAGGAGGAUGACAAUUGCUUUUAUCUGAUGGUUACUUUCAAAUGGCCCUAAAGGCCUUUUUUGGUCUGAUGAAAAUUCAGUAGAAGCUGGACUAGCAUGGAAAAGACAGGAGGACAUUUAACUAAUGAGAGCACCGAAGCUCAGGAAGGCAAUUACAUCCUUUUUUUCCUCCCCAUGUUCCCACACAGAUUGCUGCAAAAUCUUCUAUAUGCAGAAUGGAGUGGGAGACCACAAAAAGGCCCUUUGAGCCAGUGGAAGGCUCAGGUGGAGCAGUUGUUUGGGUGUCCAGCACAGCAGCCUGCAGCCAUGGAGCAAGCAUGUACCCCAGGGCAGCAGUGUGAGAGCAGGGCUGGCUUCAAGCAUACCAACAUGUGCUGCUUUCCAUUCUGCUGAAGUUUGAUUGUUCCCUCCCCUCUGCAAUUUGGAUGCUUCCUCUCCUUGCUACAGCUCUGAUGCAAGUGCUGCACUGCCGUGUUUACCAAACCUGGCAUGAGUACCCACUGCUAGUCUAGACACCAGUCUAACUGUAGCGCUAAUGCUAGGGUUUAACAGACUGAUCUCGGCAUUUGUCAUAGCUCUGCCCACGGUCAUCACUUUGAUCUUUAUCCUUGAAAACCACAGUCAUUGACGAAGGUUCUUUGUUCCAAAUGCCAACCAACUGUGAAAAUCCAGAUGCGUUCUGGCAUAAUGACCAGAGGUCCCCAGCAGUACAAUUAGAUGAUCAUUUCAGGAGUGGAAGCAAGAGGUGCAUCCCAUAUGGUGGGUCAUGCAGUAGGAAAAUGCCCCCAUUGUAAAUUAUACAGUGCAAGUGAUCUUUUUGAUCUUCCAUGCCAUUGUCACAGCCUCCAGUCACAUCAGCAGGAAGGGUUUAGUCCCCAGUGUGACAGUGCAAAUGUGGAGGCUGCCAAACUAUCCAGGGCAAGUUAACACCUGAGUUGGUGUCUGCUCUUCUCUGCAUGCCUCUGUUGGAAAACAAACUAAUAAAGAGUCUUGGUCCCAAUGAAGAUGACAGUUCUGACACAUGUAAGAAAGUCCAGUUUCCCAGAGGAAAGCUCAGACAAAAUAUCUGACCUGAAAUAUUUAUCACUUUACAC